RNAcentral lists this transfer RNA (73 nucleotides) under Loxodonta africana (African savanna elephant). It matches the Rfam family "tRNA". From Rfam's summary of the family: Transfer RNA (tRNA) molecules are approximately 80 nucleotides in length. Lineage: Eukaryota; Metazoa; Chordata; Mammalia; Proboscidea; Elephantidae. The record is from Rfam by way of RNAcentral.
CCCUGGGUGGUGCAAAUGGUGAACACAUUUGGCUACUAACCAAAAGGUUGUGGGUUUGAGUCCACCCAGAGGC